GCAAACUUGGUCAUUUAGAGGAAGUAAAAGUCGUAACAAGGUUUCCGUAGGUGAACCUGCGGAAGGAUCAUUAAAAGUAAAUAUGUAUUCGUCAUGAAUAUGCAUUUCAAACCCCCCCCUGCGUACAUUUCCUGUUGCUUCCUCGAGUCAGUGAUCCUCGAUCACCUCCAGACGAUGCGCGAUGCUAUCGGUAUGACGGAGAGCACUCGAGAAUGGUCCACAUCAAACCCUUGAAUUUUCUAUGUCAUCUGUCUGAACCAUGUUUAUAACAAAUAUCAAAACUUUCAACAACGGAUCUCUUGGUUCUCGCAUCGAUGAAGAACGCAGC
RNAcentral lists this unclassified non-coding RNA (328 nucleotides) under uncultured fungus. RNAcentral's name for it is "partial contains small subunit ribosomal RNA, internal transcribed spacer 1, and 5.8S ribosomal RNA". The stretch from base 1 to 73 matches the Rfam family "Eukaryotic small subunit ribosomal RNA", at positions 1759 to 1831 of the family's 1831-position model. Lineage: Eukaryota; Fungi. The record is from RNAcentral.